ACACCACCCGCUCACCCCUGUCAAUUCCAUUAUCUUCAGUGGAACUGCAGCAGUGACGCCAAGGGCAAUCAGAAAGGAGGGGACAGAGUGGCUGCAUGUGCUCUGCAGGCUUGACUGUUGCAGCGGAACAGAUGCCACAUUCCGCUCCAGAGGUUGCUGCUUCUCUGCGGCUAGCGAAACAAUCCCUGGGCAAAUGGCGUCCGGCUCCAAAUGAUCUGCCUGGUCUCCAGCUUCACCUGAAACGUCCUCCUCUCUGGCCUCU
This is a long non-coding RNA of Gopherus flavomarginatus (Mexican gopher tortoise), 262 nucleotides long. RefSeq lists it as uncharacterized. Lineage: Eukaryota; Metazoa; Chordata; Testudines; Testudinidae. The transcript has 3 exons. The record is from RefSeq and is a predicted model, not a curated record.